ACAGGACGUGAGGAGGAUUCCCUCGAGGAGGGUUCGGAUCGACGGCAGGUUUAGCCGUACACUAUCGCAGCGUUGCUGACCGGCUUAGGAGUGGAGGCUAGCACCACCUUUGCUAUCUAUCCUCAGUAGGUUAUUUAUUAACCUACCUUAUGUAUCAUAUUUCGAGUGUGUUCUAUAGAUUGCUCUGAUUACCUUAAAAGGUUGGAUUUAUACAUUUGUAUAAUUAUGAGUGUAUGGGAGUUGUAUAAUAUUGGAGGAAGUUGAAAGAUUUGAAUUGCUGGGUUGUAAUUUAUAUCAGUGGUUAUGUUGGUGUAGUACGAUGUUUAUAUUUGGAAA
Molecule: long non-coding RNA, 336 nt
Organism: Rosa rugosa (rugosa rose)
Lineage: Eukaryota; Viridiplantae; Streptophyta; Magnoliopsida; Rosales; Rosaceae
Exons: 2
Source: RefSeq, a predicted model, not a curated record